GGCACAGACGUGGCCGGCCAGGUGGGCUGGAGGAUGAGAGAAGCAGAAGACAGUCGCCUGGGUCUGUCGUUAGCUCUGUGGUUUCCCCGGUACGGUCGCCAGGCUCCCCGUUUCCCGUGCUCAAGACAGGCGGGCGGGGUGCGCUCUCACCUGGAGUCCCCGGGCAAGUCCAUGGGGGAAGCGGCGGCUCCGGGGAGUCCCUGGGGGAUCCCAGGCUGCAGCCUGGGAUGGGGGGGGAGCGGGGGAGCGGGGAGUGAGGGCCAGCCCCUCCCCUGGGGCUCCGCCCUUCAUGGUCCGCCCAAGGCUCCCGGUAGCCCACAGGCCGGGGCCCUGGGGCGUAAAAGGGCGCCCCCGGCUGGCCGUCCGGAGCAAGUGUCUUCCCGCUGCCGUCGCCAGAAAUCAGUGGAUCACCCGCGCCCAGACUGGCACUUGCCGGGAGAACCUGGCUUGCAGCGGCCCCAGUUCUCCCACGGCCCGAGCCUCCUGGUGGGGCCUUUGUCCCUGAAGAAUCCACCCUGAGAUCCCCCGGGAUCAGCUGGGAUCCCGGUCUUGGGAGGCUCACUUUCUGCCGGACCCCUCUGCAAUCCUCAUCCACUGCCAGCGAGUGGCCGAGAACUCCGAAGCAAUACUCUCACACACCGACGGCACCCCCCCGCCCCACCAGAUCCCCUACACUAGAUCCCUGUGGAAAGAAUCCUACAGCGCGGUUCCUCCAAUCAGACGCCGCGAGGAUCCUCCUCUCCCUCCGCUCGGUGCCCUCCCCCGUGCGCCGCUCACCGCCGCCUCCCGCGGAUCCCGGGUCUUCGACGGCUCCCACCUCCGGCUCCUUUAAAACCAGCCUUACCCAGCACUGUCCAACCGCCAAGGGCCUUCUUCUCGGAGCCUUCGGGCGCCGCCCAAUCGCCGGUCCCCGUCUUCCGGGGUGGUGAGAAACUAAGUGAAGCCACCUGGCAGCCAUCUUCCCUAGGGGCAAGAAGCCAAAUUGGGCAGCGCCGCCAUUAUAGUUGAGGGCAGGUAGCUCUGUCCUCGAAGAACCGAAGUGGACCGGAUGGGGUCGUUUUGUGAAGGCCAGUCAGUGGCCGAAGACUAUGCCAAGUUUCUUGAACUACUGAGGCAGCUGUAGUGACUAGAGUGCCGCCACGUUUUUUAAGGGCAUCUUCCGGUUUGGGUUUUUUUUUUUUUUUUUUUUUUUUUUUUGUUCUCAGGCCAAUAAACGUGAACUGAGUUGCUAGCGACAUGUGAAAUUCCCAAUUUCCUAGAGAGGCCUCAUCGAGGGCGGUUCCGGUUACCCUCCGGGAUUCCUCAGCCGGGUUCCCACGUCGCUGAGAAGAUCGGGAGGGACUAGGGGCCAGAGACUAAUGAUAAUGCCACCUCCAGCUCCUGUGUUUGCGCUAUGUCCCGGAGAGACUGCUGGGCUGGGCCAAAAUUGGGAGGAGGCUGGGCGUUGACCUUCCUGGAGGUGUGGGGGUUUCUGCGGCGCACACCGAGUGUUCAGUAUAGGGGCGCCUUUGCAGGGGACCAAUAACCCACCUUGGCGUGCUCCGUGGGGUCCGGCAGCUUGCCUCUUUGUUCCGGGCUCCCACUAACCUUCUUUCAAGAGGGGCCUGGAAAUAGCCCUUAGUAGUAAGGGAUCGAGGGUGCAUUCCCACUGCUUGGGAGAGUCUGCAUCAUGCAACCUUUACCAGGAGUCGGGCUAUUAGUGGGGGAGAAGUGGGCAGGCACUAGCUUCUUGAACUGUGAAGGGGCUCUCACCGCCUAACCAGAGCCUGUACCUCCACUAGUUCUCCUUCCCCAGAAUUUCCUCGUCCAAACCAGUACCUAAUUUUCGUGGUGGAACAAGAGAGCCUGAAGCCUAGAAUCCUGGGUCUGAGAUGAAGGUGCAGCCCAACCCAGCAGAAUUCUGCCUUCUGGGACUUCGUGAUAAACGUAUUGACAUAGUGAGAAUGAUAUGGAAAGAACAGACUCGGCAAGAGCCGGUGUGGAAAGUGAAGACUCCCCCACUCUGUAAGCAAGGGCUCAUCCAGAUAGCUCUCCCAAGCCUACAGCAAUUCUCUUUGUAACACAAGGCCUGCUGGGUCCUCUGGAAAUCCAUGAUGAGGCUUCUGGUGUUGGGGGAGCAGCAGCUUUUCCAGUUGGAAGUGUUCUCUCUUCCCUGGAUGGGGGCUGGCUGUCUGGUGAUGCUUGCAGCUGUGAGUGCUUGGAGAUCCUUCUCAACCUUGUUGAGUUGAGAGGCCCUCUGAGGCGCUCACUUUCUUAAACAGGUGCUUCCCCAGCCCCAAGGCAAGAAAAGCACUCAAGGGUAGAGCAUGCCUGAUCAGAGUUUUGAUUCUCUGGGUCUCCUGAAGAAGUCAGGCAAUGGCAAAGGACAUAGGCUUAAGGAAAAGGUCUGGGUCUGAGAAUUUGGCAGGGACGGCCCAGCCCUAAGACCUAACUUGGGGUGCUGGUGUUUAUCAAAUUGAAGUUUAAUGUAGACUGUGAUGUCUUGGCCUUAAGCUCAGGUCAGCAAUAGCAAACCUGAUAGCCUCACCGUGCUACCUCUGCCUUUUUUGUGACUACCAUUUCAACAACUCUUACCUCACCCACCACCUGUGUACACACUCUAGGGCCUGGUCAAUGUGUGCUGAUCCACUGGCAAGAGGCCCCACACAACUUCCAGUGGGGCAGGUGAUGUGGCUGGAGGUUGGCCCAUCAGUGCAUCAUUGUUCAGAAACGCUAGGGUGCCUGGGUGGCUCAGUUGAUUAAGCGUCCAACUUCAGCUCAGGUCAUGAUCUCACAAUUCAUGAGUUUGAACCCCGCAUCAGGCUUUCUGCUGUCAGCACAGAGCCCACUUCGGAUCGUCUGUCCCCCUCUCUCUCUGUCCUUCCCCCGCUCGUGUGCACACACCCAUUCUCUGUCUCUCAAAAAUAAAUAAACAUUAAAAAGAAACAAACAAACAAACAAACUCUGGGUCCCAUGGACUCUGGGUCUCCCAUCUGCUUAACUAUUCUUAACCUCAGUGGUCUCACUUGUGAAAUGGGAGCAAUGAACUCUAUCAUGCCUAUCUCAAAAAUCGACUUGAAAGAUAAAGAUCAAAUAAGACACACCUGAAUGUGCCUGAUAAAUGAAGUCUCCGGUAAAAUGAGGAAGAUGGGGGCACCUGGAUGGCUCAGUCAGUUGAGCUCUUGAUUUCAGCUCAGGUCAUGAUCUAAUAGUGGAUCCUGCAUGGAGCCUGCUUAAGAUUCUCUCUCUCCCUCUUCAUCUGCCCCUCCCUAGCUCAUGCUCUCUCUUUCUCUUUCUCUCCCUCUCUCUGUCAAAAAAGAAAAAAAGAUAAAAACCACCUCUUCUUUCUCUCAGAGUACCCUAUCCCUUCUGGCCCUCAAGCCAGCUCUGCUCAGUACCUUUGUCUGCAGAAGCCUCUAGCCCGAGCUCCAGAUCAGCUGGGGUGGGAUGAGUUGGGUCGUGGCUGCAGGGGAUUGGGAAGGGUGGGAUGGUCAGCGACAGAGCUUUCCUAAGAACCACCCCUAAAAAAUGACAGGAAGCUUCAGGUUUGGGUUGCUGUUGUGGUUCCCAUCAACCAUUUAACAAGAGUUCAACUCCUCCUACAUGCUCUGCCCUGGGGAUAAACAGGUGCUUAUUCCCAGGAGGUUGGAGUUUAAGUCCCUGUACACAAAAUUGCCAUUGGCUCUACUACUUCCUGCAGCUUCUGUCCUCUCCACCUUAAAGGACUUAUUCCAGCCAGGUGGCAGCACAUGCCUGACCAACUUAGUUCCCCAGCUGAGGAGCUUUCAAGAUCCACCUCUGAGGGCUUUUCCUCUCUGGUCAGCUAUUGCUAGAAUUUGUAAGCAAAUCCUGAGAAAAGCUGGUCCUACCUAUGGUCUAACUCCUCUUCCCCAGUUAGAGAGCCACCUGCCAUCAGUUCUAUACUUGUCUCAUUGUUGUUGUUGUUGUUGUUGUUGUUGAGGGAGAGAUCAUAGGGAGGUGUCAAGGUCAGAAGAACUGAUGGUGAAGUGAUAGGGCUUAUGGUGAGGGUUUCAGAGGAAGGGAGAAGGUUGGGGGAAGUAGAGAAUCAAGAAGGUGAAGGGAGGGGUGCCUAGGUGGCUCAGUUGGCUAAGUGGCUAAGUAUCUGACUCUUGAUUUUGGCUCAGGUCAUGAUCUUGCGGUUCCUGAGUUCCAGCCCCGCAUCAGGCUCCACACAGACAGUGCAGAGUCUGCUUGGGAUUCUCCCCUCUCUUUCUCUCUCUCUCUCAAAAUAAAUAAAUACACCUAAAAAGAAAAAAGAAGGUUGGGGCGCCUGGGUGGCUCAGUUGGUUAAGCAUGGGACUUCAGCUUAGGUCGUGAUCUCAUGGUUUGUGGGUUCAAACCCCACGCUGGGCUCUGUGCUGACAGUUCAGAGCCUGGAGCCAGCUUUGGAUUCUGUCUCCCUCUCUCUCUGCUCUUACCCCACUCGAGCUGUCUCUCUCUCUCUCUCUCUCUCUCUCUC
Long non-coding RNA from Acinonyx jubatus (cheetah), 4459 nucleotides. RefSeq lists it as uncharacterized. Lineage: Eukaryota; Metazoa; Chordata; Mammalia; Carnivora; Felidae. The record is from RefSeq and is a predicted model, not a curated record. The transcript is spliced from 2 exons.